This 1361-nucleotide ribosomal RNA is filed under the name uncultured bacterium. Its description in RNAcentral is "bacterial SSU rRNA". It matches the Rfam family "Bacterial small subunit ribosomal RNA", at positions 28 to 1381 of the family's 1533-position model. The record is from RNAcentral.
AUUGAACGCUGGCGGCAGGCCUAACACAUGCAAGUCGAGCGGUAGCACAGAGAGCUUGCUCUCGGGUGACGAGCGGCGGACGGGUGAGUAAUGUCUGGGAAACUGCCUGAUGGAGGGGGAUAACUACUGGAAACGGUAGCUAAUACCGCAUAACGUCGCAAGAUCAAAGUGGGGGACCUUCGGGCCUCAUGCCAUCAGAUGUGCCCAGAUGGGAUUAGCUAGUAGGUGGGGUAACGGCUCACCUAGGCGACGAUCCCUAGCUGGUCUGAGAGGAUGACCAGCCACACUGGAACUGAGACACGGUCCAGACUCCUACGGGAGGCAGCAGUGGGGAAUAUUGCACAAUGGGCGCAAGCCUGAUGCAGCCAUGCCGCGUGUGUGAAGAAGGCCUUCGGGUUGUAAAGCACUUUCAGCGGGGAGGAAGGCGGUGAGGUUAAUAACCUCAUCGAUUGACGUUACCCGCAGAAGAAGCACCGGCUAACUCCGUGCCAGCAGCCGCGGUAAUACGGAGGGUGCAAGCGUUAAUCGGAAUUACUGGGCGUAAAGCGCACGCAGGCGGUCUGUCAAGUCGGAUGUGAAAUCCCCGGGCUCAACCUGGGAACUGCAUUCGAAACUGGCAGGCUAGAGUCUUGUAGAGGGGGGUAGAAUUCCAGGUGUAGCGGUGAAAUGCGUAGAGAUCUGGAGGAAUACCGGUGGCGAAGGCGGCCCCCUGGACAAAGACUGACGCUCAGGUGCGAAAGCGUGGGGAGCAAACAGGAUUAGAUACCCUGGUAGUCCACGCCGUAAACGAUGUCGAUUUGGAGGUUGUGCCCUUGAGGCGUGGCUUCCGGAGCUAACGCGUUAAAUCGACCGCCUGGGGAGUACGGCCGCAAGGUUAAAACUCAAAUGAAUUGACGGGGGCCCGCACAAGCGGUGGAGCAUGUGGUUUAAUUCGAUGCAACGCGAAGAACCUUACCUGGUCUUGACAUCCACAGAACUUUCCAGAGAUGGAUUGGUGCCUUCGGGAACUGUGAGACAGGUGCUGCAUGGCUGUCGUCAGCUCGUGUUGUGAAAUGUUGGGUUAAGUCCCGCAACGAGCGCAACCCUUAUCCUUUGUUGCCAGCGGUUAGGCCGGGAACUCAAAGGAGACUGCCAGUGAUAAACUGGAGGAAGGUGGGGAUGACGUCAAGUCAUCAUGGCCCUUACGACCAGGGCUACACACGUGCUACAAUGGCAUAUACAAAGAGAAGCGACCUCGCGAGAGCAAGCGGACCUCAUAAAGUAUGUCGUAGUCCGGAUUGGAGUCUGCAACUCGACUCCAUGAAGUCGGAAUCGCUAGUAAUCGUAGAUCAGAAUGCUACGGUGAAUACGUUCCCGGGCCU